Molecule: unclassified non-coding RNA, 235 nt
Filed under: uncultured fungus
Lineage: Eukaryota; Fungi
Description: partial contains small subunit ribosomal RNA, internal transcribed spacer 1, and 5.8S ribosomal RNA
Rfam family: Eukaryotic small subunit ribosomal RNA (bases 1-73)
Source: RNAcentral
GCAAACUUGGUCAUUUAGAGGAAGUACAAGUCGUAACAAGGUUUCCGUAGGUGAACCUGCGGAAGGAUCAUUAACAAAUGAUGUGAUUUGAAUUUAUAUCAAAUCAACAUAAGUGCUCCGGGUUUACUCGGUUGCAUCAUAUAUAUUCAUGAUAUUGUGAUUUUAGUGUAAUUUAAAUUUAAAGAACACUUUUAACAAUGGAUCUCUUGGCUCUUGCAUCGAUGAAGAACGCAGC